This is a non-coding RNA of Phrynosoma platyrhinos (Desert horned lizard), 73 nucleotides long. NCBI's taxonomy places the organism in Eukaryota, Metazoa, Chordata, Lepidosauria, Squamata, Phrynosomatidae. The record is from the annotation of a GenBank genome assembly.
GACAGUGUGGUGUAGUGAUUUGAGUGUUCGACUAGGACUCUGGGACACCAGGGUUCAAAUCCCUGCUCAGACA